This 60-nucleotide ribosomal RNA is filed under the name Pleurozium schreberi. RNAcentral describes it as "partial 26S ribosomal RNA". The record is from RNAcentral. RNAcentral also lists the same sequence under 5 other names. Lineage: Eukaryota; Viridiplantae; Streptophyta; Bryopsida; Hypnales; Hylocomiaceae.
CAGACCUCUAAUCGGAAAAGACUACCCGCUGAGUUUAAGCAUAUCAAUAAGCCGGAGGAA